CCUGGACUGGUUGCCCGAGGGCACAGAUGCCAGCCGGAACCCCGAGGGCUUUGGGUGGACACUGCCCACCCUGGGCUUCUUCUGAAGGACUCUUCCUUCUCCAAGGUCAUGGCCAGAGGAGGGCCAUGGAUUCCCUCUGUCUUCACACUGACCGUGGGCCUUCUACUAGCAGCACCCUUCCCCCUCCAGGUCCCAGGGAGAGAUUGUCUGGCUACAAUGACUGGGAUCCUAUCCUAGACCUUAGAAUUCACCAGCUCCAGGACUCUCAGAUCUGGGACACAGAAAACUCAGCUCUGGACCCCGUACUUCAGAUGACACAACUUUGGCCCUCUUCUGUAUGAGGUGGGGAGUGUGGCUGGCCAAGUUCUCUGCAAGUUCAUCCUGAAUGGGGGAGUGGCUCAUCCCUG
Long non-coding RNA from Heterocephalus glaber (naked mole-rat), 407 nucleotides. Lineage: Eukaryota; Metazoa; Chordata; Mammalia; Rodentia; Bathyergidae. The record is from Ensembl.